GACGAAGGGGGCUAGCGUUGUUCGGAAUUACUGGGCGUAAAGCGCGUGUAGGCGGUUGCCAUAGUCAGGUGUGAAAGCCUUGAGCUCAACUCAAGAAAUGCACUUGAUACUGGGCGACUAGAGGACCGGAGAGGAUAGUGGAAUUCCCAGUGUAGUGGUGAAAUACGUAGAGAUUGGGAAGAACACCAGUGGCGAAGGCGGCUAUCUGGACGGUUUCUGACGCUAAGACGCGAAAGCGUGGGGAGCAAACAGG
Molecule: ribosomal RNA, 253 nt
Filed under: uncultured bacterium
Lineage: Bacteria
Description: partial 16S ribosomal RNA
Rfam family: Bacterial small subunit ribosomal RNA
Source: RNAcentral